This 580-nucleotide ribosomal RNA is filed under the name uncultured bacterium. Its description in RNAcentral is "bacterial SSU rRNA". It matches the Rfam family "Bacterial small subunit ribosomal RNA", at positions 338 to 916 of the family's 1533-position model. The record is from RNAcentral.
CCUACGGGAGGCAGCAGUAAGGAAUAUUGGUCAAUGGAGGCAACUCUGAACCAGCCAUGCCGCGUGCAGGAAGACUGCCCUAUGGGUUGUAAACUGCUUUUAUCCGGGAAUAAACCUACUUACGUGUAAGUAGCUGAAUGUACCGGAAGAAUAAGGAUCGGCUAACUCCGUGCCAGCAGCCGCGGUAAUACGGAGGAUCCAAGCGUUAUCCGGAUUUAUUGGGUUUAAAGGGUGCGUAGGCGGCCUGUUAAGUCAGGGGUGAAAGACGGUAGCUCAACUAUCGCAGUGCCCUUGAUACUGAUGGGCUUGAAUGGACUAGAGGUAGGCGGAAUGAGACAAGUAGCGGUGAAAUGCAUAGAUAUGUCUCAGAACACCGAUUGCGAAGGCAGCUUACUAUGGUCUUAUUGACGCUGAGGCACGAAAGCGUGGGGAUCAAACAGGAUUAGAUACCCUGGUAGUCCACGCCCUAAACGAUGAACACUCGCUGUUGGCGAUACACAGUCAGCGGCUAAGCGAAAGCGUUAAGUGUUCCACCUGGGGAGUACGCCCGCAAGGGUGAAACGUCGAAAGGAAUUGACGG